ACUGAACGCUAGCGGGAUGCUUUACACAUGCAAGUCGAACGGUGUUGCGGUCGGGUGAGUAAUACAUCGGUACGUGCCCAGUAGCGGGGGAUAACUACUCGAAAGAGUGGCUAAUCCUGCAUACCAUCGGCUCGUCCGCUAUCGGAUUAGCGAGUCGGUGGGGUAUAGGCUCACCAAGGUAACGAUCCGUAGCUGGUUUGAGAGGAUGACCAGCCACACGGGGACUGAGUCACGGCCCAGACUCCUACGGGAGGCAGCAGUGGGGAAUUUUGGACAAUGGGGGAAACCCUGAGCCAGCCAUCCCGCGUGUAUGAUGAAGGCCUUCGGGUUGUAAAGUACUUUUAGCAGAGAAGCGGUAUCUGCAGAAUAAGCACCGGCUAACUACGUGCCAGCCGCCGCGGUAAUUC
This 407-nucleotide ribosomal RNA is filed under the name uncultured bacterium. RNAcentral describes it as "partial 16S ribosomal RNA". It matches the Rfam family "Bacterial small subunit ribosomal RNA", at positions 30 to 526 of the family's 1533-position model. The record is from RNAcentral.